AGAGUUUGAUAUGGCUCAGAUUGAACGCUGGCGGCAGGCCUAACACAUGCAAGUCGAGCGGAAACGACACUAACAAUCCUUCGGGUGCGUUAAUGGGCGUCGAGCGGCGGACGGGUGAGUAAUGCCUAGGAAAUUGCCUUGAUGUGGGGGAUAACCAUUGGAAACGAUGGCUAAUACCGCAUAAUGCCUACGGGCCAAAGAGGGGGACCUUCGGGCCUCUCGCGUCAAGAUAUGCCUAGGUGGGAUUAGCUAGUUGGUGAGGUAAUGGCUCACCAAGGCGACGAUCCCUAGCUGGUCUGAGAGGAUGAUCAGCCACACUGGAACUGAGACACGGUCCAGACUCCUACGGGAGGCAGCAGUGGGGAAUAUUGCACAAUGGGCGAAAGCCUGAUGCAGCCAUGCCGCGUGUAUGAAGAAGGCCUUCGGGUUGUAAAGUACUUUCAGUUGUGAGGAAGGGUGUGUAGUUAAUAGCUGCGCAUCUUGACGUUAGCAACAGAAGAAGCACCGGCUAACUCCGUGCCAGC
RNAcentral lists this ribosomal RNA (524 nucleotides) under Vibrio tasmaniensis. Its description in RNAcentral is "bacterial SSU rRNA". It matches the Rfam family "Bacterial small subunit ribosomal RNA", at positions 8 to 512 of the family's 1533-position model. Lineage: Bacteria; Pseudomonadati; Pseudomonadota; Gammaproteobacteria; Vibrionales; Vibrionaceae. The record is from RNAcentral.